GGGUGUUUCUGUCUCUGCUCUCCUCCCAGCCCCUUGUCUGCCACCCCUUGUGCUUCUCUCCUUUCACCCAGAGCUCAUCUUCUGCCCUUCCCUCCAGGGCUUUGCUGGCGUGCAGGGGGGCAGAGGGCAUGCGGGACCUCCUGGACCGACGGGCCCCCAAGGAAAACCUGGACCUGAUGGAGAGCCGGGUUCCCUGGGCCCAAAGGGUCUGCCUGGGAAGCCUGGCGCGGAGGGGCCGCAGGGACCUGUCGGCAUGUAUGGCUACCCGGGACCAGCCGGUGACCGUGGGAGGCCAGGGCGCAGGGGAGACAAGGGUGAAACAGGAGCCCGAGGCCUGCCGGGAUUCCCUGGAAAAGCCGGUCCCAAGGCCCUGCCAGGCCCCCCGGGGCCACGAGGUGCUCCCGGCUCCCAGGGAAGAGCAGGAGAGCCGGGUCCUCGGGGGCUUCCAGGGCUGCCGGGAGCUCCCGGCGUGCGGGGGCUGGACGGUGUCCCCGGGAAGCCUGGUUUGGCUGGGGAAGCAGGAGCAGCCGGCAUGCCGGGGGCUGCUGGCCCCCCCGGGUACCCGGUAAGUGCCAACCUGGCUGCUGC
Molecule: long non-coding RNA, 588 nt
Filed under: Cairina moschata (Muscovy duck)
Lineage: Eukaryota; Metazoa; Chordata; Aves; Anseriformes; Anatidae
Description: domestica (muscovy Duck (domestic type)) lncRNA (ENSCMMG00000005399.1)
Source: RNAcentral